CCCUUAGACGUUCUGGGCCGCACGCGCGCUACACUGAUCAGUGCAACAAGCAUCCGUCCUUGGCCGACAGGCCCGGGCAAUCUUUGAACGCUGGUCGUGAUGGGGAUAGACUUUUGCAAUUUUUGGUCUUCAACGAGGAAUUCCUAGUAAACGCAAGUCAUCAACUUGCAUUGAUUACGUCCCUGCCCUUUGUACACACCGCCCGUCGCACCUACCGAUUGAAUGGUCCGGUGAAGCCUCCGGAUUGGCGCGCACCUCGGUGCCGCCGAGAAGUUGGCUAAACCUUACCAUUUAGAGGAAGGUGAANUCGUAACA
This 315-nucleotide ribosomal RNA is filed under the name uncultured eukaryote. Its description in RNAcentral is "partial 18S ribosomal RNA". It matches the Rfam family "Eukaryotic small subunit ribosomal RNA", at positions 1470 to 1796 of the family's 1831-position model. The record is from RNAcentral.